UGGGGAAUAUUGCACAAUGGGCGAAAGCCUGAUGCAGCGACGCCGCGUGAGGGAUGACGGCCUUCGGGUUGUAAACCUCUUUCAGCAGGGACGAAGCGCAAGUGACGGUACCUGCAGAAGAAGCACCGGCUAACUACGUGCCAGCAGCCGCGGUAAUACGUAGGGUGCAAGCGUUGUCCGGAAUUACUGGGCGUAAAGAGUUCGUAGGCGGUUUGUCGCGUCGUUUGUGAAAACCAGCAGCUCAACUGCUGGCGUGCAGGCGAUACGGGCAGACUUGAGUACUGCAGGGGAGACUGGAAUUCCUGGUGUAGCGGUGAAAUGCGCAGAUAUCAGGAGGAACACCGGUGGCGAAGGCGGGUCUCUGGGCAGUAACUGACGCUGAGGAACGAAAGCGUGGGUAGCGAACAGG
This 409-nucleotide ribosomal RNA is filed under the name bacterium. RNAcentral describes it as "partial 16S ribosomal RNA". It matches the Rfam family "Bacterial small subunit ribosomal RNA", at positions 355 to 776 of the family's 1533-position model. The record is from RNAcentral.